UAUCAGCUGCGUUGUGCGUAAUCUUAAUAAAGUUUUAACCUUUAAGCUGAAAUAGGGAGUUUUAUAUUGAGACAGGAAUAUCAUGCCCCAUUUUGAAUGAGGACGAUAGGAGUGUUUCUGCAAACACCCACUUUAUGGAGUGGUGGUUUUAAAACUCUAUUAACUGUACGGCAACCGCGGCCUUUCC
This 187-nucleotide non-coding RNA is filed under the name Bacillaceae bacterium SAOS 7. RNAcentral describes it as "6S RNA". It matches the Rfam family "6S / SsrS RNA". Rfam says of the family: E. coli 6S RNA was the first non coding RNA to be sequenced, but its function was unknown until recently. It consists of 184 nucleotides that fold into an extended hairpin structure with a large single-stranded internal bulge. The 6S RNA specifically associates with RNA polymerase holoenzyme containing the sigma70 specificity factor. Lineage: Bacteria; Bacillati; Bacillota; Bacilli; Caryophanales; Bacillaceae. RNAcentral also lists the same sequence under 2 other names. The record is from RNAcentral.